AUUGGACGCUGGCGGAAUGCUUUACACAUGCAAGUCGAGCGGCAGCGCGGGGCAACCUGGCGGCGAGCGGCGAACGGGUGAGUAAUGCAUCGGAACAUGUCCAUGUCGUGGGGGAUAGCCCGGCGAAAGCCGGAUUAAUACCGCAUACGCCCGAGAGGGGAAAGCAGGGGACCGCAAGGCCUUGCGCGAUUGGGUUGGCCGAUGUCCGAUUAGCUUGUUGGUGAGGUAAAGGCUUUACCAAGGCGAUGAUCGGUAGCUGGUCUGAGAGGAUGAUCAGCCACACUGGGACUGAGACACGGUCCAGACUCCUACGGGAGGCAGCAGUGGGGAAUUUUGGACAAUGGGGGCAACCCGUGAUCCAGCCAUUCCGCGUGAGUGAAGAAGGCCUC
Molecule: ribosomal RNA, 389 nt
Filed under: uncultured bacterium
Lineage: Bacteria
Description: bacterial SSU rRNA
Rfam family: Bacterial small subunit ribosomal RNA
Source: RNAcentral